GUUUGUUUGGAGUUAUAAAGAAUUUAACCUGCCCCCUGAUUAAUUAUUAUUAAAGGGCCGCAGUAUUAUAACUGUGCAAAGGUAGCAUAAUCAUUAGGUUUUUAAUUGAAAUCUCGUAUGAAUGGUUGGACAAAAGAAAGACUCUCUUUAUAUUAAGUUUUGAAUUUAACUUUUAAGUGAAAAGGCUUAAAUAUUCUAAAGGGACGAUAAGACCCUAUAAAACUUUACAUUGUCAUUAAUUUUGAUUGAAUUUAUGAAAUAAAAAUUUUAUUUGAUUAUUUGUUAUGUUGGGGAGACAUAAGUAAAAUAUUUUUUUAACUGCUUGAUAGUUAUACAAUUAUUAGUGAAUAAGUAGAAGAUCCUUUUUAAGAUUAGUAGAUUAAGUUACUUUAGGGAUAACAGUGUAAUUUCUUUUGAGAGUUCUUAUCGAAAAAGAAGGUUGCAACCUCGAUGUUGAAUUAAAAUAUCUAUAUAAUGGAGAGGUUAUAUAAGAAGGUCUGUUCGACCUUGAAAAUUUUACAUGAUUUGAGUUCAAACCGGUGUGAG
Molecule: ribosomal RNA, 546 nt
Filed under: Longpotamon lansi
Lineage: Eukaryota; Metazoa; Arthropoda; Malacostraca; Decapoda; Potamidae
Description: partial 16S ribosomal RNA
Rfam family: Bacterial large subunit ribosomal RNA
Source: RNAcentral